This 497-nucleotide ribosomal RNA is filed under the name uncultured bacterium. RNAcentral describes it as "partial 16S ribosomal RNA". It matches the Rfam family "Bacterial small subunit ribosomal RNA", at positions 28 to 507 of the family's 1533-position model. The record is from RNAcentral.
GGUGAACGCUGGCGGCGUGCCUAAUACAUGCAAGUAGAACGCUGAAGGAAGGAGCUUGCUCUUUCCGGAUGAGUUGCGAACGGGUGAGUAACGCGUAGGUAACCUGCCUGGUAGCGGGGGAUAACUAUUGGAAACGAUAGCUAAUACCGCAUAACAGUAGAUGUUGCAUGAUAUCUACUUAAAAGGUGCAAUUGCACCACUACCAGCUGGACCUGCGUUGUAUUAGCUAGUUGGUGAGGUAACGGCUCACCAAGGCGACGAUACAUAGCCGACCUGAGAGGGUAAUCGGCCACACUGGGACUGAGACACGGCCCAGACUCCUACGGGAGGCAGCAGUAGGGAAUCUUCGGCAAUGGACGGAAGUCUGACCGAGCAACGCCGCGUGAGUGAAGAAGGUUUUCGGAUCGUAAAGCUCUGUUGUAAGAGAAGAACGAGUGUGAGAGUGGAAAGUUCACACUGUGACGGUAUCUUACCAGAAAGGGACGGCUAACUACGUG